Molecule: ribosomal RNA, 424 nt
Filed under: uncultured bacterium
Lineage: Bacteria
Description: bacterial SSU rRNA
Rfam family: Bacterial small subunit ribosomal RNA
Source: RNAcentral
UUAGGAAAUUUUGCCAAUGGGGGAAACCCUGAGCGAGUAACGCCGCGUGGAGGAUGACGGCCUUCGGGUUGUAAACUCCUUUUCUGUGGGACGAUGAUGACGGUACCACAGGAAUAAGCCCCGGCUAACUACGUGCCAGCAGCCGCGGUAAUACGUAGGGGGCGAGCGUUGUCCGGAAUUACUGGGCGUAAAGAGCGCGUAGGCGGCACUGUAAGUUCUGUGUGAAAGCCCCUGGCUCAACUGGGGAACGUCGCGGAAAACUGCAGAGCUGGAGUGUUGGAGAGGGAAGCGGAAGUCCCGGAGUAGGGGUGAAAUCCAUAGAGACCGGGCCGAACACCAGUGGCGAAGGCGGCUUCCUGGCCAACGACUGACGCUGAGGCGCGAAAGCGUGGGGAGCGAACGGGAUUAGAUACCCCCGUAGUCC